RNA transcript from Vitis vinifera (wine grape), 1764 nucleotides. RefSeq lists it as uncharacterized. NCBI's taxonomy places the organism in Eukaryota, Viridiplantae, Streptophyta, Magnoliopsida, Vitales, Vitaceae. The transcript is spliced from 4 exons. The record is from RefSeq and is a predicted model, not a curated record.
CUGUGGGAGAGACUUUGAUCCAGGGAAGUUAUGUGGUGAUUUUGGCUUGAACAGCUAAAGCUUGGCACAGACUUUGAGCCAGUGUAACUGUUUCUGGUAUUUGAUAUGAAGGGGAAAAAAUGCAAGCCAAUUUAACAGAUAAGGAUAGGAUCAGCAGUAUACAGAUGGUCAAGAGCAAUUAAGACUGCAGUUGCACACCAACCAAUGAUGGAACUUCUAUUAACUAAGGACAAGGGUAGAUGCUAUCCAGUCCAAAAUAAAUUUAUAGUUUUGCACCAAUCAGUAACAAAUCCAACGAACUUGAGCAAAUUGAUUCGUCAUACCGAAUAAGGCAAAGAGUCGGACUAGGCUACUCAUUGUAUGAUGCUACACACUAGUGUUGAUUGUGAUGCGGCUACUUGUAUUUGUGUUCUGCUCCUCCAUGAGAAAAAACCACAUAUAAAACUGAAAAAUAUAGUUGGACUAAGGCUUUGCAGCAAUGUGACUGGAUUUGAAAGGUUCUUCUGCUAGAAUUUUCAGCUACUGUCAUCUUCUUCAUGCCUGAAUUCCUUCUUACUGUCAUUUUUUCCUUCCCUUGUUUAGCUGUCUCUCAAGCUCUGUCCCUGGCUUAAUCAUCUAGGAGUUUCAGGGUCUUUGACAUGGGGGAAGCUGCAGAACUGCAAGUUCAAAUCAUGGGUCAGGAAGCCAGAGAAGAGAACUCUGCUGAAGGAAAUGUGGCUCUCCAAACAAUGACACCUAGAAUCAGAAAGUAUAUGUGGUGGCUCCAAAUCGCCAUCUUAAACCAGAUAUAAUGAAAAUUAUUUAAAACCUUAUACAUUUUUAAAUUCUUGAUUUUUUACAUGAGGAGAAAAUAAGAUAAAUAAAUUUGAGGAAGCGUGUGAUAAAAAUUUAUUCAUCUUAAAUAUAUUUUUUAUUUCCAUUGUUUUUUCUUGUCAUCUUUCACUUCACAUUUUUUCCCCCUCUUACUUUCCUUUGCAUUUUCCAAAAUCCAAAUGGAGCCUGAAAAAGGGAAGAAAAGGGAAAAACUUGCUUGAUAGUGCCUAAGAAUAUGGUGAAUGCCUUUCUAACUUGUGGACAUGGGUGUGCAGAUCAAACAAGCCUAAUGGACAGCCUAAGUGGCUUCUUUCUCUUAUUCCAGAUUAUCCGUUGCUCAACUUCAUGCUCACAACUGCCAUCUAUAUCUUAGUAUCCCCUCGGCUUUUUGAACUAACCAAUACACUCAAGACAGUUUUUAUUCCUACAAAGGACAAUCGCCGGCUGCUGCAUGAAUUUUCUUGCUGGAAUUGGCAUAUCUCUGUGUUUAUAUUGCAUUGGGUUCAUUCUUCUUCAGAUUCCUCAUGCACAAGCUUGACAAAUCAGGACUGAAAGGACUGGUACAAAGGGAUUUCCUGUUGGAUCUAGAAGAAGGUACAGAUGAAAGUAAAUAAGGGGACUUGGAAGCCCUGACAAAUCAGGGCUAGUGUACACAUGCCUUGGUGCUGCUCCAAAACAAAUCUCUGAUUCUGGAGAAGGAACUUAGUGAAGAAAAGAUGUAAGGGUAGGCUACUGAAAUCAUGGACCUGUCGUGUUUAACAAAGUAGUGUCUCUCUUUCUCAUCCUAUUCAGUAGUGUCUCUCUUUACUCAAAGCAUCCACUCUCUCUCUCUGAAAUUCAAAUAAAAAAUGAUAAGAAAGUGGAUAAUAGUAGGGACAGGCCUAGCUGUUUGACAGAAAUCUAAUGGAUCCGUUGACCCCCCCAGUUGGAACAGGUCAUUACUCAUUAGCA